Molecule: ribosomal RNA, 494 nt
Filed under: uncultured bacterium
Lineage: Bacteria
Description: partial 16S ribosomal RNA
Rfam family: Bacterial small subunit ribosomal RNA
Source: RNAcentral
GACGAACGCUGGCGGCGUGCUUAACACAUGCAAGUCGAACGGAAAGGCCUGCUUUCCCUUGUGGAUUGCGGGUACUCGAGUGGCGAACGGGUGAGUAACACGUGAGUGAUCUGCCCCCAACUUGGGUAUAAGCCUGGGAAACUGGGUCUAAUUCCCGAUAGGACUGCAGGGUGGUGCCUGUGGUGGAAAACGAUUUUCUAGUGGUUGGGGGUGAGCUCGCGGCCUAUCAGCUUGUUGGUGGGGUAAUGGCCUACCAAGGCGGCGACGGGUAGCCGGCCUGGGAGGGUGGACGGCCCCAUUGGGACUGAGAUACGGCCCAGACUCCUACGGGAGGCAGCAGUGGGGAAUAUUGCACAAUGGGCGGAAGCCUGAUGCAGCGACGCCGCGUGGGGGAUGACGGCCUUCGGGUUGUAAACUCCUUUCGACCGCGAGGAAGCCACCUGGUUGGAAGGGUGGUGACGGUAGUGGUAGAAGAAGCACCGGCUAACUACGUG